This 315-nucleotide ribosomal RNA is filed under the name uncultured eukaryote. Its description in RNAcentral is "partial 18S ribosomal RNA". It matches the Rfam family "Eukaryotic small subunit ribosomal RNA", at positions 1470 to 1796 of the family's 1831-position model. The record is from RNAcentral.
CCCUUAGACGUUCUGGGCCGCACGCGCGCUACACUGACCAGUGCAACAAGCAUCCGUCCUUGGCCGACAGGCCCGGGCAAUCUUUGAACGCUGGUCGUGAUGGGGAUAGACUUUUGCAAUUUUUGGUCUUCAACGAGGAAUUCCUAGUAAACGCAAGUCAUCAACUUGCAUUGAUUACGUCCCUGCCCUUUGUACACACCGCCCGUCGCACCUACCGAUUGAAUGGUCCGGUGAAGCCUCCGGAUUGGCGCGCACCUCGGUGCCGCCGAGAAGUUGGCUAAACCUUACCAGUUAGAGGAAGGUGAAGUCGUAACA